Molecule: ribosomal RNA, 298 nt
Filed under: uncultured Helicobacter sp.
Lineage: Bacteria; Pseudomonadati; Campylobacterota; Epsilonproteobacteria; Campylobacterales; Helicobacteraceae
Description: partial 16S ribosomal RNA
Rfam family: Bacterial small subunit ribosomal RNA
Source: RNAcentral
CUUACUCCGUGCCCGCGCGCGCACUCAGGCUGCGGUGUCGUGCGUUUCUCCGUAUUUCUGGUCGUAAUUCGUGCGCCGGCGGUUGUUUAAGCGAGAGCUGAAAGCCCUGGGCUCAACAUAGGAAUAGCAUUUCGAACUGGCGAACUAGAUUCUUGUAGAGGGGGUGAGUAUUCCAGGUGUAGCGGUGAAAUGCGUAGAGAUCUGGAGGAAUACCGGUGGCGAAGGCGGCCCCUGGACAAAGACUGACGCUCAUGCACGAAAGCGUGGGGAGCAAACAGGAUUAGAUACCCGUGUAGUC